UACAGAGGGGGCAAGCGUUGUUCGGAAUUACUGGGCGUAAAGGGCGCGUAGGCGGCGUGCUAAGUCGAACGUGAAAUCCCCGGGCUCAACCCGGGAACUGCGUCCGAAACUGGCAUGCUUGAAUCCGGGAGAGGGAUGUGGAAUUCCAGGUGUAGCGGUGAAAUGCGUAGAUAUCUGGAGGAACAUCGGUGGCGAAGGCGGCAUCCUGGACCGGUAUUGACGCUGAGGCGCGAAAGCCAGGGGAGCAAACGGG
This 253-nucleotide ribosomal RNA is filed under the name uncultured bacterium. RNAcentral describes it as "partial 16S ribosomal RNA". It matches the Rfam family "Bacterial small subunit ribosomal RNA", at positions 524 to 776 of the family's 1533-position model. The record is from RNAcentral.